This 254-nucleotide ribosomal RNA is filed under the name uncultured bacterium. RNAcentral describes it as "partial 16S ribosomal RNA". It matches the Rfam family "Bacterial small subunit ribosomal RNA", at positions 57 to 305 of the family's 1533-position model. The record is from RNAcentral.
GCAAGUUGUGCGAGAAAGUUUCUUCGGAAACGAGUAGAGCGGCGAACGGGUGAGUAACACGUAAAUAACCUGCCCUUAAGUUUGGGACAACCAUGCUAACGCGUGGCUAAUACCGGAUGUGAAUCAACUUUCUCCUGAUUGUUGAUUUAAAGGUCCUUCGGGAUUGCUUAAGGAUGGAUUUGCGCACUAUUAGUUAGUUGGUAAGGUAAUGGCUUACCAAGACGAUGAUAGUUAGCCGACCUGAGAGGGUGAUC